This is a long non-coding RNA of Triticum aestivum (bread wheat), 813 nucleotides long. RefSeq lists it as uncharacterized. The record is from RefSeq and is a predicted model, not a curated record. The transcript is spliced from 2 exons. Lineage: Eukaryota; Viridiplantae; Streptophyta; Magnoliopsida; Poales; Poaceae.
UGCCGGAGGGCCAGCCUCGGGCCGUUGCCUCGGGCGCCGCCUGCAUGGAUGCAAGCCGAGGGCUACGACGUCGCCUCUGCCCGGGCCGUGGACCGCGCUGCCGCGCGCCUGAGGGCAUCGCCAUGCCUGGCACCGGCUGUUGGCCGCUGCGGCCGCCUCCAGGUGUAGCGCUGGGAGCAGCCGGGCCAAAGGAUGCUGCCGCUCCGCUAGGAGGCUAGCCGAGGGAGCGCAGUCCGGGCCAUGGGUCGCUGCCGAAGUUUGCCUUGGACGGCAUUCAAACGACGCCCUGGAGAUCGAAAGACUUGCCGCGCCUGGGUGGGUGCUGGCCGCCGCCGUCUUCGCCGACCGCCAUGGCGCGCGGAGAUGCAUCAUGCGCCGCCAUGGCGUGGGGGCCGUGGCCGGUAGCCGCUAGGAGCCACGGAUGCUUGUGUAGCCGCAGGAGCCGAACAUCGGAUCCUGGCUCGCCGCAUCGGCCUCUGGGGCCGAGGGGCGCCGUGCACCACACACAGGCCGGAGGGAGCGUCACUGCGGAGGGCCGGCCGUCUCGCAGCACCUUGUGCCACAUCCGCCGCCGUUCUUCCGCUAUGGCCUAUUUCUCUAAUCGAGAGCAGAGUGCGUGAUAACGUGUUCGAGAUCAACAUAACAAAUGAUCGAACUAUCUCUUUGCAUUAGAUGAAGUGCUAUAUAUAGCACUGGAAUAGGCGUUUACAAAGGGGGUGUCGGUUCGACAGAACCGACGCAAUGGUUGGAGAAGUAACUGAAGGAAAUAUGCCUUAGAGGCAAUAAUAAAGUUGUUAUUUAUAUUUCCUUAUA